RNAcentral lists this ribosomal RNA (253 nucleotides) under uncultured bacterium. Its description in RNAcentral is "partial 16S ribosomal RNA". It matches the Rfam family "Bacterial small subunit ribosomal RNA", at positions 524 to 776 of the family's 1533-position model. The record is from RNAcentral.
UACGUAGGGGGCAAGCGUUGUCCGGAUUUAUUGGGCGUAAAGAGCGUGUAGGCGGUUUGGUAGGUCCGUUGUGAAAACUCGAGGCUCAACCUCGAGACGCCGAUGGAAACCAUCAGACUAGAGUCCGGAAGAGGAGAGUGGAAUUCCUGGUGUAGCGGUGAAAUGCGCAGAUAUCAAGGAAGACACCCGUGGCUAAGGCGGCUCUCUAGUACGGUACUGACGCUGAGACGCGAAAGCGUGGGGAGCGAACAGG